Molecule: ribosomal RNA, 490 nt
Filed under: uncultured bacterium
Lineage: Bacteria
Description: partial 16S ribosomal RNA
Rfam family: Bacterial small subunit ribosomal RNA
Source: RNAcentral
AUUGAACGCUGGCGGCAUGCUUUACACAUGCAAGUCGAACGGCAGCGGGGUAGUGCUUGCACUACUGCCGGCGAGUGGCGAACGGGUGAGUAAUAUAUCGGAACGUACCGAGUAAUGGGGGAUAACCAAUCGAAAGAUUGGCUAAUACCGCAUACGUCCUGAGGGAGAAAGCGGGGGAUCGCAAGACCUCGCGUUAUUCAAGCGGCCGAUAACUGAUUAGCUAGUUGGUGGGGUAAAGGCCUACCAAGGCGACGAUCAGUAGCGGGUCUGAGAGGACGAUCCGCCACACUGGGACUGAGACACGGCCCAGACUCCUACGGGAGGCAGCAGUGGGGAAUUUUGGACAAUGGGGGCAACCCUGAUCCAGCCAUGCCGCGUGUAUGAAGAAGGCCUUCGGGUUGUAAAGUACUUUUGUUAGGGAAGAAAAGGGAAGUGCUAAUACCACUUUUUGCUGACGGUACCUAAAGAAUAAGCACCGGCUAACUACGUG